GCCUUUGUGGCUCAGUGGUAGAGCACUUCCUUGGUAAGGAAGAGAUCGUGGGUUCAAUUCCCACCAAAGGCU
RNAcentral lists this transfer RNA (72 nucleotides) under Chitinophagaceae bacterium. RNAcentral's name for it is "tRNA-Thr". It matches the Rfam family "tRNA". Rfam says of the family: Transfer RNA (tRNA) molecules are approximately 80 nucleotides in length. Their secondary structure includes four short double-helical elements and three loops (D, anti-codon, and T loops). The record is from RNAcentral. Lineage: Bacteria; Pseudomonadati; Bacteroidota; Chitinophagia; Chitinophagales; Chitinophagaceae.